This 465-nucleotide ribosomal RNA is filed under the name Vreelandella stevensii. RNAcentral describes it as "partial 16S ribosomal RNA". It matches the Rfam family "Bacterial small subunit ribosomal RNA", at positions 338 to 795 of the family's 1533-position model. Lineage: Bacteria; Pseudomonadati; Pseudomonadota; Gammaproteobacteria; Oceanospirillales; Halomonadaceae. The record is from RNAcentral.
CCUACGGGAGGCUGCAGUGGGGAAUAUUGGACAAUGGGGGGAACCCUGAUCCAGCCAUGCCGCGUGUGUGAAGAAGGCCCUCGGGUUGUAAAGCACUUUCAGUGAGGAAGAACGCCUGGUGGUUAAUACCCAUCAGGAAAGACAUCACUCACAGAAGAAGCACCGGCUAACUCCGUGCCAGCAGCCGCGGUAAUACGGAGGGUGCGAGCGUUAAUCGGAAUUACUGGGCGUAAAGCGCGCGUAGGUGGCUUGAUAAGCCGGUUGUGAAAGCCCCGGGCUCAACCUGGGAACGACAUCCGGAACUGUCAAGCUAGAGUGCAGGAGAGGAAGGUAGAAUUCCCGGUGUAGCGGUGAAAUGCGUAGAGAUCGGGAGGAAUACCAGUGGCGAAGGCGGCCUUCUGGACUGACACUGACACUGAGGUGCGAAAGCGUGGGUAGCAAACAGGAUUAGAUACCCGGGUAGUC